RNAcentral lists this long non-coding RNA (462 nucleotides) under Lupinus mutabilis. RNAcentral's name for it is "partial ncRNA". The record is from RNAcentral. Lineage: Eukaryota; Viridiplantae; Streptophyta; Magnoliopsida; Fabales; Fabaceae.
UCAUCUUCUAUCUCUUCACUUUUCUUUGUAAUCCUCUUGUUCUUCUUCACCAUCAUUAUUUUCUUCUUUCUCCGAUCUCUCACCUCAUGUUUGUUUUCUCCGCUCUCUCCUGUUUCAUGCUCAUUUCCCUCAUCUUCUUGUUCAUUAUGUCCAUGUUUAUUUUCUACACCCUCUGCAAUAUUUUCAUCUUCCUUUUCAUUUCCCUCUUUUAUUAUAGACCCGCGGGUACCCACAAACCCGCGGGUAUUCUGAACUACCCGCAAAAUACUCGUUUUGCGAGUACCCGUACAGGUACGGGCGGGUACAGGUAGUGACCCCAGAUUUGGGCAUGGGUAGCGGGUAGCUACUACCCAUGCCCGCCCGUACCCGUUGUCAUCCCUAGCUCAUGGGGACAAAUGUGGUAGGAUUGCUAGUCAUGAUUAAAGCUUCUUAUAAUGGAAUAUACCAUAUAAAUAUAUGAGA